RNAcentral lists this ribosomal RNA (352 nucleotides) under uncultured bacterium. RNAcentral describes it as "bacterial SSU rRNA". It matches the Rfam family "Bacterial small subunit ribosomal RNA", at positions 1037 to 1390 of the family's 1533-position model. The record is from RNAcentral.
GGUGGUGCAUGGUUGUCGUCAGCUCGUGUCGUGAGAUGUUGGGUUAAGUCCCGCAACGAGCGCAACCCUUAUUACUAGUUGCCAGCAUUAAGUUGGGCACUCUAGUGAGACUGCCGGUGACAAACCGGAGGAAGGUGGGGAUGACGUCAAAUCAUCAUGCCCCUUAUGAUUUGGGCUACACACGUGCUACAAUGGAUAAUACAAAGGGCAGCGAAUCCGCGAGGCCAAGCAAAUCCCAUAAAAUUAUUCUCAGUUCGGAUUGUAGUCUGCAACUCGACUACAUGAAGCUGGAAUCGCUAGUAAUCGUAGAUCAGCAUGCUACGGUGAAUACGUUCCCGGGUCUUGUACACAC